This 411-nucleotide ribosomal RNA is filed under the name uncultured Nitrososphaerota archaeon. Its description in RNAcentral is "bacterial SSU rRNA". It matches the Rfam family "Archaeal small subunit ribosomal RNA", at positions 452 to 861 of the family's 1478-position model. Lineage: Archaea; Thermoproteati; Nitrososphaerota. The record is from RNAcentral.
CUGGUGUCAGCCACCUCCGUAUACCAUUACCUCGAGUGGUCUUGACGUUUAUUGCUGCCUAAAGUGUCCUGAGCCGGAUCUGCUGGUCUUCGGAUAAAUCCUCCUGCUCAACUGAUAGUAUGCUGGAAAUACUACAGAUUUACGGAGUGGGAUAUGCACACUGAAUUCAGAGGGUAGGGGUAAAAACCUCUGAUCCAUUGAGGACCACCAAUGGCAAAAGAGGACUGUCACAAUUCCUUCCACGGAGAGGGAUGAAAUCUGGGGUCAGCAAACCUGGAUUAUAUACCCGGGUAGUCUCAGCUGAAAACAAUGAUUACUCCGAGAUGCAUUGGCUUAUGGUCAAUGUGCUGUCGGACGGAAACCGAUAAUGAUGCCGUCUGGUAAUGACUGACCCAAGUCUGAAAAUUAAAG